Cinara cedri is the source of this 283-nucleotide non-coding RNA. The record is from the annotation of a GenBank genome assembly. NCBI's taxonomy places the organism in Eukaryota, Metazoa, Arthropoda, Insecta, Hemiptera, Aphididae.
AAUUUUCUUUGCAUUUCACUUUUAUCGUUAUACAGGGUAAAAUUGUCAGAGAGAGGGCCUAUAUCUAGAGACUAACAUUAAUUGUUUUCUCCGUCUCGCGCGUAAUAUUCACAACAAAAGUAUUUCUUAUUUCGAUCGCGACUCUCUGUUCACUCGAGUAAGGCAAAGAAACCUUUGUAUAUUUUAUGAAAUAAAAUGUACUUUAUUGUGUACCAUGAACGAAUGCAAUUUUUAUAUUUGUACUUUUCAAUAAGACGUUAGGAGUAACAGAAUGAAGAAAAAU